CUCCCACCCUUUGCUUACCCUACCUUUGUUGCUUUGGCAGGCCCGUCCCUGGGGCCGCCGGCUUCGGCUGGCCCGCGCCUGCCAGAGGACCCCCAACUCUUGUUUAAUUGUCGUCUGAGUACCAAAAUAAUCGUUAAAACUUUCAACAACGGAUCUCUUGGUUCUGGCAUCGAUGAAGAACGCAGCGAAAUGCGAUAAGUAAUGUGAAUUGCAGAUUUCAGUGAAUCAUCGAAUUUUUGAACGCACAUUGCGCCCUCUGGCAUUCCGGAGGGCAUGCCUGUUCGAGCGUCAUUACAACCCUCAAGCUCUGCUUGGUAUUGGGCGUCGCCGGCUUCCCGGCGCGCCUCAAAGUCAGUGGCGGUGCCGUCCGGCUCCAAGCGUAGUAACCUACUCUCGCUCUGGAGCUCCGGGCGGUUGCCUGCCAGCAACCCCAAUUUUACCACAGGUUGACCUCGGAUCAGGUAGGGAUACCCGCUGAACUUAAGCAUAUCAAUAAGCGGAGGAA
Molecule: ribosomal RNA, 505 nt
Filed under: Ascomycota sp. EF32c
Lineage: Eukaryota; Fungi; Ascomycota
Description: eukaryotic LSU rRNA
Rfam family: 5.8S ribosomal RNA (bases 138-291)
Source: RNAcentral